UUAUACCUUAAUCCUUGAUUACUGAAGAAAAUGAUAUAGAGUGGCUUCAAUUCUUUCCCCUUCCACAGUAAAAACCCUCAAUUUCUUAACAAUUUUCUCUAUGUUCUCUUUCUCACCAAACUCUCUAUAUUUCUCUGUUAUCUAGCCUUAGGAAAAAACAUGCGUAAUAUAAACUGACUCCCUCUCCCCCACGAACGUCAGG
This 202-nucleotide long non-coding RNA is filed under the name Panax ginseng (ginseng). Its description in RNAcentral is "long non-coding RNA (PGIN_LNC018045)". The record is from RNAcentral. Lineage: Eukaryota; Viridiplantae; Streptophyta; Magnoliopsida; Apiales; Araliaceae.